Molecule: ribosomal RNA, 497 nt
Filed under: uncultured bacterium
Lineage: Bacteria
Description: partial 16S ribosomal RNA
Rfam family: Bacterial small subunit ribosomal RNA
Source: RNAcentral
GAUGAACGCUGGCGGCGUGCCUAAUACAUGCAAGUCGAGCGAACGGACGAGAAGCUUGCUUCUCUGAUGUUAGCGGCGGACGGGUGAGUAACACGUGGAUAACCUACCUAUAAGACUGGGAUAACUUCGGGAAACCGGAGCUAAUACCGGAUAAUAUUUUGAACCGCAUGGUUCAAAAGUGAAAGACGGUCUUGCUGUCACUUAUAGAUGGAUCCGCGCUGCAUUAGCUAGUUGGUAAGGUAACGGCUUACCAAGGCAACGAUGCAUAGCCGACCUGAGAGGGUGAUCGGCCACACUGGAACUGAGACACGGUACAGACUCCUACGGAAGGCAGCAGUAGGGAAUCUUCCGCAAUGGGCGAAAGCCUGACGGAGCAAUGCCGCGUGAGUGAUGAAGGUCUUCGGAUCGUAAAACUCUGUUAUUAGGGAAGAACAUAUGUGUAAGUAACUGUGCACAUCUUGACGGUACCUAAUCAGAAAGCCACGGCUAACUACGUG